CAAGUUUUGAAAACGACAAAGAGACAAAGUUCAAGAUUACAAAGAAAACGAUCAAUUAUAUUUGGAAAAGUACACGUGACUGCAAGAAAAAUAGCCCAGCAAAUAACGUAUUAAAAUUGUGGUCGUCGUGUCAACUCGGGUCGCUUCUCUUUAUAUGGAAUAGCUUAAUAACUCCAUGCUGUUAAGCAGAUUUGAGGUGUGAGCCAGCCAUCAUAUCCACAAGAUAUGCAAGUUUUGCUUCUACUUUUAUUGACCUGUCAUUAGCAACAAUCGCAGUAUCAUCACUUAUUGGAUAAACAGCAUUUAAUUUUAUUGGGGAAACUACGGAUGAACGAUGUCGGCCGAGUAACGCCUUUUCUCCUCUGAUCUCGUGUACACCCAUGUGAGUGUGAUUCACGAGUCUGAGGCCCUUUUUCCUACCCCGCCUGGCGGAUUCAACUAUUCUCCCGAUGGAGCACUUGUGGAUGUCUGGCUGUAUUUCCCAGGCUGAAAGGUAGGAAAAAUUUAUUUCUAUUUCUUCUUUUGGCCGGUGGCGUUCAUUAUAAAAUAGUAUACGGAUUACGAUUAUUCCUGAGCCAUGUGGUUGCUGACUGGACUGUUUUUUCUUGCCAUUUUUGUUGACUCAGUUAGGGUUCAUUAGAUAAUUCAUUUGUAGAACGACUGCAGAUCAGGCUUGUUUGGUAUCUCACAACUUUUUCUGUG
Molecule: long non-coding RNA, 702 nt
Organism: Daphnia pulicaria
Lineage: Eukaryota; Metazoa; Arthropoda; Branchiopoda; Diplostraca; Daphniidae
Exons: 3
Source: RefSeq, a predicted model, not a curated record